Molecule: ribosomal RNA, 399 nt
Filed under: uncultured bacterium
Lineage: Bacteria
Description: partial 16S ribosomal RNA
Rfam family: Bacterial small subunit ribosomal RNA
Source: RNAcentral
CCUACGGGGGGCAGCAGUAGGGAAUAUUGCUCAAUGGGGGAAACCCUGAAGCAGCAACGCCGCGUGGAGGAUGAAGGUUUUCGGAUUGUAAACUCCGUUUGUUAGAGAAGAGAAGGACGGUAGCUAACGAAUAAGCACCGGCUAACUCCGUGCCAGCAGCCGCGGUAAUACGGAGGGUGCAAGCGUUACUCGGAAUCACUGGGCGUAAAGAGCGCGUAGGCGGGAUCGCAAGUCAGAUGUGAAAUCCUAUGGCUUAACCAUAGAACGGCAUUUGAAACGGUUAUUCUAGAGUAUGGGAGAGGUAGGUGGUAUUCUUGGUGUAGUGGUCCAAUCCGUCGAGAUCCAGAGGAAUCCUCAUUGCGAAGGCGACCUGCUAGAACAUAACUGCCGCUGAUGCGC